RNAcentral lists this ribosomal RNA (468 nucleotides) under uncultured bacterium. RNAcentral's name for it is "partial 16S ribosomal RNA". It matches the Rfam family "Bacterial small subunit ribosomal RNA", at positions 28 to 507 of the family's 1533-position model. The record is from RNAcentral.
GACGAACGCUGGCGGCGUGCUUAACACAUGCAAGUCGAACGGAAAGGCCCUGCUUUUGUGGGGUGCUCGAGUGGCGAACGGGUGAGUAACACGUGAGUAACCUGCCCUUGACUUUGGGAUAACUUCAGGAAACUGGGGCUAAUACCGGAUAGGAGCUCCCGCUGCAUGGUGGGGGUUGGAAAGUUUCGGCGGUUGGGGAUGGACUCGCGGCUUAUCAGCUUGUUGGUGGGGUAGUGGCUUACCAAGGCUGUGACGGGUAGCCGGCCUGAGAGGGUGACCGGCCACAUUGGGACUGAGAGACGGCCCAGACUCGUACGGGAGGCAGCAGUGGGGAGUAUUGCACAAUGGGCGGAAGCCUGAUGCAGCAACGCCGGGUGCGGGAUGACGGCCUUCGGGUUGUGAACCGCUUUCGCCUGUGACGAAGCGUGAGUGACGGUAAUGAGUAAAGAAGCACCGGCUAACUACGUG